GGAUUGUGGCUCAGUGGUAGAGCACUUGCCUAACAUGUGUGAGUCACUGGAUUCGAUCCUCAGCACCA
Molecule: transfer RNA, 68 nt
Filed under: Marmota monax (woodchuck)
Lineage: Eukaryota; Metazoa; Chordata; Mammalia; Rodentia; Sciuridae
Description: tRNA.Val
Source: RNAcentral